UCUUGUGCUUGGUUGCUAGCUAUCACCUUAGUCUCCUCCAUGCCGUUGACCACAAAAACAAUCCCCAAAUCAGCACCAAACAACCCCCUGCCGCACCUUGCCGCCGGCGGUUCCUAAAGCGCCAUUUCGGCGGAGCGCCCAGGCCCCGCUGCUUCCUGCUCCGCUGCACGAGCGCUUGCUUCGCCGCCGGCAGCUCCGCAACAGCGUGCUGUCUGAAGCACAGCGGUGGCCCCUUCCCCCGCUGCUCUUGAGGAUGCACGCGGCGUACGGGAGGAGUCGGGAUGGGUCACGCGAGAGAAGGAUCAGGUCCCGGUGGUUCUGCAGGAGGCGCGUGCAAAGGGGGACACGCGAUAGUGUUUCAGGGUGAGUUUAGGUUCAGGCCUAGUCUUCUAUAUAUUUCAGUAGGGUGGAACAGAGUAGAUUUAUUGGCCAUGUAGUUGAUUAUUUGAUCAUGUGUUUACUAUAUAGUUUUUCAUUACAUGAACACAUGACUGUAAAGAAAUCUCUCAGUUAAGGUCAGGCAUAGGACAUUUAACUGUACUGCAGUAGCAUGUAUUCAGGUUUAGGCCUUUGUACCAUUGCAGUCUGUAGCAAAUGCAAAACAAUGUUCACUAGUGCAGUUUUGCAAACACCUAUCAGUUGGAUGUCAAGUAAAGUUAUCUAGUCAGGCAUGUAUAUGUCAAAUCCAAACCAUGGUAUGUACUGUAUUACGUGAACAUGAACAUGAAAAGAAGAUAAAAGAGCUAAACUUUUCUAAAAUACAAAUAUGCAUUACACGAUCUACUCAUCAUAACUUGAAUGCUCAUUCUCACUCAAUGCGCCAUCUUCCUGUCCAUCAUCAUCAGUAACACUAUCUUGUGUCGAACAACUAAUCAAUAUCCUUCACAGUUGAAGUUGUCGAGGGCAUUUCUUCCUGGUAUGAACUGGUCAUGUUUCCCAAGGGGUUGAAUCCAUCCAUGGCAAUACCAAGCUUCAUAUUACGGGCAUCCUUAGCGAAACAACUGAACUCACUAUCAAAGUGCUCCCAUGCUUCACCAUCAGCAGGGGGUCUCAUAACAUUUGCCUCAGCAAUCCUCUUCUCCUUAUGCCACCUUGCAUGUGCUGAUUGUUCCUUUGACACAAAAAAUCUUUGAAGCCUCAGGAUGAUAGGAAAGUACCUAAGUACCUUGUGAGGUACCUUUUCCUCCACACCUUAUCUUUCCAUCUUGAUGUCCCACAUUCAGGACAGUGGCUCUUGUUGGCAUGUUGGCCCAAAAACAAUCCAAAUCAAACUUGGAAAGAUGAAUUGUUUCGUAACCCUGCCCGACUUCACUAAGAACAUUCUUAGCUUCAUUUUAUGAUUUAGGUAUAUCAGCAUGUGGAAACGCCACACUAAUAAGCUCAACAAAAUGAUUAAAUGCUCUACUUGUAAUCCGGUUGUAUGAUUUGAUAUGGAGGAGCUUAAUAAUGAACGACAGCCGUGUGAAAUCACUACAUCCUUCAUAAAAGAUCUUUCUUCGCUUCAUCAAUUAGCUUGGAAAAGAGGUUAGGCUUACCCUUGCCUUACCUUCCAGACAUGAACAUAUCAUCUACCAUAUAUGCAACAUCGCCUCUGUUGCCAACAUCACAGUCAUCAUCAUCAUCUGAUUGAUAUGUAGCACCCUCUAUAUUAUCACCUUCAUCAUCAGUCACCGCUUCACCAUGAAAGUCCCACCUUGUAUAUGUAACAGACAUACCAUUGCAUAAUUUGUGCUCCUCUACUUCAGCCUGGCGCGAUGUUCCAUAUUCAGACAGUCCUUGCAUGGGCACAAUAUGUCCUAAUUUUCCCUGAAAUUUUGGCGAGCGAAACCCAUAAACUCUUCAAUACCUUUCAUGUAUGGUGGUGUGAAACAUGUUCCUUGUAUCCAGCUUCGAUCCAUUACACUACAACAAAAUAGUUUACUGUUAGCAAAUUAUGCUUACACCGCAUCGAAGCAAAAUUUACUACUAACACAACUCGUGAACCCACUACUAAACUGAAACAACAAAACAACCACAAAUUUAACCCUUUCAAGAUUGAUGAAAACAUCUACUCAGGCAAUGAAUUUAGUAGAACAAAACCUCCUUCACAUUGUCUUUCCUAAGUACAGCAUAUAUGCUUGGUUUCAAAAGGCCACGGACUUGUGCAUGUCUUAUACACAAACAUAAAUAUGCUCACUGUCAUUGCAAAACCAUGCAUCUAUCUAUGCUAUAUACAUCAUCGCAACAUUCGUACACACAAUACAAUAGCAGAAGUAACAGUUCAAUCGUUCACCCAAUUUACCUUACAGGGGUUGGCUGGAUCGAUGCUUUGGGAGUUGGGGCCAAGUCGGGAGCACUCGCAAGUCCAAACUCUGUGCCUUUGUCAGGUGAUGGAUGGACAGAAAACUCUGUGCACAGUUGGUGAUGGGACGAUGGCCAGUUGGGGACAGGUUGGGGACGAGCCACGUUGUCCCAGUCGUCGACGAGCAAAUGUGAUGCCUGAGGUGGAAGAGCGGAGCUAAGAGGGAGAGGCGGAGGCGCGGUGUGGUAGCCGGUGCGAUGUAGCGGCGCUGUAAUGCCUCCUACGAUAUGAUGGCAAAUGGCUGGAUGGAUCCGCUUGAUGUGGCACAAGGGAGUGGAUGCACUUACUUGCAAUUGGCAACAACCAGCCGGAACCGAUCUGUGUCGUGCUUCAGCUAUCACCGUCCUGCUUCUCCCCGCUGUGAAGCACCACCAGCUAGAACCGAGAAGACGAUCAGAUGGAGUCACAUAUCCCCCGGGAAGAAAUAUCUAACCUACGCCUAGGCGUAUAGUCCAAGAAGAUGGUACCAUAGUUUGAAUAGCGUCCAGACUCUUUCCUAGUGGCAACGUUGUUUGUGCAGAUCAUGGUGGUUGUCGGUUCGAACUCCUAUAGCAAUUCUUUUUUGCAUCGAAUCUCUUGUUUUAAUUUUAAGUGACUAGCAAGUUCGUCAUGCAAAAUACCAAACCGUCAUAGAAAUUGGCAACCAGGUGUGCUGAAAGGCCGAGGCAUUCAGGUGAUGUCUAACGUCACCGAUUUGCGAUAAUUGGUGACGCCACUGACGAGAACAUCACACAUUAGGCAUUUCGGUGACGUUGUCCACCAUUGUCACAAGGAUUUUUGUCACAGUAUGUCAAUUUUGUUGUAGUGUACCAAAAGGGCAAGUAAAAGUAGUCUUGGAUUGAUCAUUGGCUAACACAGGUAUUUGAGAGAAACCAGAAUAACCAUCUAGGAAGAAAAAAUGUGUAUGUUUGGAUAAUCUUUCUUGCAUUUGAUCGAUAAAAGGUAAGGGGUAAUGAUCU
RNAcentral lists this long non-coding RNA (3300 nucleotides) under Triticum aestivum (bread wheat). RNAcentral describes it as "long non-coding RNA (TAES_LNC005325)". Lineage: Eukaryota; Viridiplantae; Streptophyta; Magnoliopsida; Poales; Poaceae. The record is from RNAcentral.